This 72-nucleotide transfer RNA is filed under the name Dipodomys ordii (Ord's kangaroo rat). It matches the Rfam family "tRNA". From Rfam's summary of the family: Transfer RNA (tRNA) molecules are approximately 80 nucleotides in length. Their secondary structure includes four short double-helical elements and three loops (D, anti-codon, and T loops). Further hydrogen bonds mediate the characteristic L-shaped molecular structure. tRNAs have two regions of fundamental functional importance: the anti-codon, which is responsible for specific mRNA codon recognition, and the 3' end, to which the tRNAs corresponding amino acid is attached (by aminoacyl-tRNA synthetases). tRNAs cope with the degeneracy of the genetic code in two manners: having more than one tRNA (with a specific anti-codon) for a particular amino acid; and 'wobble' base-pairing, i.e. permitting non-standard base-pairing at the 3rd anti-codon position. The record is from Rfam by way of RNAcentral. Lineage: Eukaryota; Metazoa; Chordata; Mammalia; Rodentia; Heteromyidae.
GAAAAUGUAGCUCAGUAAUAGAGUGCUUGUCUAGCAUUCAUGAGGUGCUGGGUUCAAUUCCCAGCACCAUCA